CUGCUCGCUUCAAGAGCACAUAUACUAAAGUUGGAAUGACACAUACAAGAUUAGCAUGGGCCCUGUGCAAAGAUGACAUGCAAAUUUAUAAAGUGUUUCAUAUUUUA
This is a small nuclear RNA of Molossus molossus (Pallas's mastiff bat), 107 nucleotides long. The record is from RefSeq and is a predicted model, not a curated record. Lineage: Eukaryota; Metazoa; Chordata; Mammalia; Chiroptera; Molossidae.